GACGAACGCUGGCGGCGUGCCUAAUACAUGCAAGUUGAGCGAUGAAGAUUGGUGCUUGCACCAAUUUGAAGAGCAGCGAACGGGUGAGUAACGCGUGGGGAAUCUGCCUUUGAGCGGGGGACAACAUUUGGAAACGAAUGCUAAUACCGCAUAAUAACUUUAAACAUAAGUUUUAAGUUUGAAAGAUGCAAUUGCAUCACUCAAAGAUGAUCCCGCGUUGUAUUAGCUAGUUGGUGAGGUAAAGGCUCACCAAGGCGAUGAUACAUAGCCGACCUGAGAGGGUGAUCGGCCACAUUGGGACUGAGACACGGCCCAAACUCCUACGGGAGGCAGCAGUAGGGAAUCUUCGGCAAUGGACGAAAGUCUGGCCGAGCAACGCCGCGUGAGUGAAGAAGAUUUUCGGAUCGUAAAACUCUGUUGGUAGAGAAGAACGUUGGUGAGAGUGGAAAGCUCAUCAAGUGACGGUAACUACCCAGAAAGGGACGGCUAACUACGUG
RNAcentral lists this ribosomal RNA (497 nucleotides) under uncultured bacterium. RNAcentral's name for it is "partial 16S ribosomal RNA". It matches the Rfam family "Bacterial small subunit ribosomal RNA", at positions 28 to 507 of the family's 1533-position model. The record is from RNAcentral.